Molecule: microRNA precursor, 83 nt
Filed under: Malus domestica (apple)
Lineage: Eukaryota; Viridiplantae; Streptophyta; Magnoliopsida; Rosales; Rosaceae
Description: miR10985 stem-loop (mdm-MIR10985)
Source: miRBase by way of RNAcentral
UAGCUUGAAGUACUUGUUAAUGGGGGGUGGAAAAGGUAGUAGAAUACUAAUAACCACUCGUAGUGAAACAGUUGCGAAGAUAU